This is a long non-coding RNA of Alnus glutinosa, 604 nucleotides long. RefSeq lists it as uncharacterized. Lineage: Eukaryota; Viridiplantae; Streptophyta; Magnoliopsida; Fagales; Betulaceae. The record is from RefSeq and is a predicted model, not a curated record. The transcript has 2 exons.
UGACACUUUAGUAAAAACACAUUCUCACCUUAUCUUCUCACAUUUCCAGCACACCACACAUUCCCUCACUAUCAUUUACACGUGAGCCACUCCUCUAGAACUUUCUCCCCUUUCUUUCUAUCACACAAUCUCUCUCCCUCCCUUUCUUUCUUUUCCUUUCCCUCUUCCUUUCUUCCUCACUGCAUUCUGUCAAGAUUGAGGGAGAGAGCGAGAUGAGAGAGACACCGAGAGAGAGAACGACGGACUGAAAGGGAGAGCCCGAAAAGAAGAAGAAGAAGAAGAGAAGGAGAAACGGAUUUUCGGCUAUGGGUCUUUAUAAGAUGAUGUUUCUUUGGCUGCAGGUACUCCGGUUGUAGUUGUUGGUGUUGUAGAAGUGUACUUGAGAUAUUAUGACCGAAACUCGCCGCAACGAUUGUAAUUGCGGGACCAUAGGCGUCCUCUGUUUUAUGGGUAAUGUUAUGGCUUGUGACGUCUGUGUCACUUGUUAUUGUAUAGUCAUUUAUGUUAUGUAUUUAACUUGAGGAAAGACUUAAACAGAUAGAUGUAAUAUUGGCUCUUGAUUAUGAUUAAUUUAUGAUAGAUGUUUAAGAUGUGAUUUCCGCCA